AUUGAACGCUGGCGGCAGGCUUAACACAUGCAAGUCGAGCGGGGUGAUGGUGCUUGCACUAUCACUUAGCGGCGGACGGGUGAGUAAUGCUUAGGAAUCUGCCUAUUAGUGGGGGACAACAUCUCGAAAGGGAUGCUAAUACCGCAUACGUCCUACGGGAGAAAGCAGGGGAUCACUUGUGACCUUGCGCUAAUAGAUGAGCCUAAGUCGGAUUAGCUAGUUGGUGGGGUAAAGGCCUACCGAGGCGACGAUCUGUAGCGGGUCUGAGAGGAUGAUCCGCCACACUGGGACUGAGACACGGCCCAGCCUCCUACGGGAGGCAGCAGUGGGGAAUAUUGGACAAUGGGGGGAACCCUGAUCCAGCCAUGCCGCGUGUGUGAAGAAGGCCUUAUGGUUGUAAAGCACUUUAAGCGAGGAGGAGGCUCUUUUGGUUAAUACCCAAGAUGAGUGGACGUUACUCGCAGAAUAAGCACCGGCUAACUCUGUGCCAGCCGCCGCAGUAA
This 503-nucleotide ribosomal RNA is filed under the name uncultured bacterium. RNAcentral describes it as "partial 16S ribosomal RNA". It matches the Rfam family "Bacterial small subunit ribosomal RNA", at positions 30 to 523 of the family's 1533-position model. The record is from RNAcentral.